GCAAGUCGAACGAACUCUGGUAUUGAUUGGUGCUUGCAUCAUGAUUUACAUUUGAGUGAGUGGCGAACUGGUGAGUAACACGUGGGAAACCUGCCCAGAAGCGGGGGAUAACACCUGGAAACAGAUGCUAAUACCGCAUAACAACUUGGACCGCAUGGUCCGAGCUUGAAAGAUGGCUUCGGCUAUCACUUUUGGAUGGUCCCGCGGCGUAUUAGCUAGAUGGUGGGGUAACGGCUCACCAUGGCAAUGAUACGUAGCCGACCUGAGAGGGUAAUCGGCCACAUUGGGACUGAGACACGGCCCAAACUCCUACGGGAGGCAGCAGUAGGGAAUCUUCCACAAUGGACGAAAGUCUGAUGGAGCAACGCCGCGUGAGUGAAGAAGGGUUUCGGCUCGUAAAACUCUGUUGUUAAAGAAGAACAUAUCUGAGAGUAACUGUUCAGGUAUUGACGGUAUUUAACCAGAAAGCCACGGCUAACUACGUGCCAGCAGCCGCGGUAAUACGUAGGUGGCAAGCGUUGUCCGGAUUUAUUGGGCGUAAAGCGAGCGCAGGCGGUUUUUUAAGUCUGAUGUGAAAGCCUUCGGCUCAACCGAAGAAGUGCAUCGGAAACUGGGAAACUUGAGUGCAGAAGAGGACAGUGGAACUCCAUGUGUAGCGGUGAAAUGCGUAGAUAUAUGGAAGAACACCAGUGGCGAAGGCGGCUGUCUGGUCUGUAACUGACGCUGAGGCUCGAAAGUAUGGGUAGCAAACAGGAUUAGAUACCCUGGUAGUCCAUACCGUAAACGAUGAAUGCUAAGUGUUGGAGGGUUUCCGCCCUUCAGUGCUGCAGCUAACGCAUUAAGCAUUCCGCCUGGGGAGUACGGCCGCAAGGCUGAAACUCAAAGGAAUUGACGGGGGCCCGCACAAGCGGUGGAGCAUGUGGUUUAAUUCGAAGCUACGCGAAGAACCUUACCAGGUCUUGACAUACUAUGCAAAUCUAAGAGAUUAGACGUUCCCUUCGGGGACAUGGAUACAGGUGGUGCAUGGUUGUCGUCAGCUCGUGUCGUGAGAUGUUGGGUUAAGUCCCGCAACGAGCGCAACCCUUAUUAUCAGUUGCCAGCAUUAAGUUGGGCACUCUGGUGAGACUGCCGGUGACAAACCGGAGGAAGGUGGGGAUGACGUCAAAUCAUCAUGCCCCUUAUGACCUGGGCUACACACGUGCUACAAUGGAUGGUACAACGAGUUGCGAACUCGCGAGAGUAAGCUAAUCUCUUAAAGCCAUUCUCAGUUCGGAUUGUAGGCUGCAACUCGCCUACAUGAAGUCGGAAUCGCUAGUAAUCGCGGAUCAGCAUGCCGCGGUGAAUACGUUCCCGGGCCUUGUACACACCGCCCGUCACACCAUGAGAGUUUGUAACACUCCAAAGUCGGUGGGGUAACCUUUU
Molecule: ribosomal RNA, 1422 nt
Filed under: Lactiplantibacillus plantarum
Lineage: Bacteria; Bacillati; Bacillota; Bacilli; Lactobacillales; Lactobacillaceae
Description: bacterial SSU rRNA
Rfam family: Bacterial small subunit ribosomal RNA
Source: RNAcentral